GACGAACGCUGGCGGCGUGCUUAACACAUGCAAGUCGAACGGAAAGGCCCUGCUUUUGUGGGGUGCUCGAGUGGCGAACGGGUGAGUAACACGUGAGUAACCUGCCCUUGACUUUGGGAUAACUUCAGGAAACUGGGGCUAAUACCGGAUAGGAGCUCCUGCUGCAUGGUGGGGGUUGGAAAGUUUCGGCGGUUGGGGAUGGACUCGCGGCUUAUCAGCUUGUUGGUGGGGUAGUGGCUUACCAAGGCUUUGACGGGUAGCCGGCCUGAGAGGGUGACCGGCCACAUUGGGACUGCGAUACGGCCCAGACUCCUACGGGAGGCAGCAGUGGGGAAUAUUGCACAAUGGGCGGAAGCCUGAUGCAGCAACGCCGCGUGCGGGAUGACGGCCUUCGGGUUGUAAACCGCUUUCGCCUGUGACGAAGCGUGAGUGACGGUAAUGGGUAAAGAAGCACCAGCUAACUACGUG
This 468-nucleotide ribosomal RNA is filed under the name uncultured bacterium. RNAcentral describes it as "partial 16S ribosomal RNA". It matches the Rfam family "Bacterial small subunit ribosomal RNA", at positions 28 to 507 of the family's 1533-position model. The record is from RNAcentral.